Long non-coding RNA from Oreochromis aureus, 661 nucleotides. The record is from Ensembl. NCBI's taxonomy places the organism in Eukaryota, Metazoa, Chordata, Actinopteri, Cichliformes, Cichlidae.
UGAUAUGAUAUGUAAAAAAUGUUUUAUUAGUACCUGUAAAAGUCGGCAUAUCUUUUCAGUGAUGACCUUUAUGAUUCUGCUGGGUGUUCAGGGUGAGAGAGUAGGACGCACCUUGGAUCCUUGCCAUUGCUUUAUUGAACGCUCUGGUGCUGUUGCUUGGAAUGUAUUUUGGCAACGAUUGCUGGUACAGAAAUAAAGAUGAUGACAUGUUAUCUUCGAGAGCCAUUUACUACACCUUACGCCUGGGUGAGGCUAAACUCAAAGGUCUCAAAAAAAGAACAGACUGAAGACAAAAUCACAUCUGGAUGAAAGUGAAGACAUUUAUCACAUAUAGCUAUUGCAAAUGAACAAGCUGUACAUCGUCUGCUGUGUAUAGAACUAAACUAUAAAGAACUAUAAGUACCAAUAAAGUUCACAUGCUAACAAAUGCUGUCUGUUAUGUAGACAUUUGUUAAAUUAAACCACUUGUUGCUUCUGCUCUUUUUGCUUGUGCAUGAAUGCUGUUCAAAAGAAAAAAGCUGCUGCAGCUCAUUUCUUCUAGACAGCAGGUUCUCACUGUGGUCAACCACUAAUGUAAAUGUGUCGCAUUGCUUUGUUUUCCAAAACAGAUGAAGCAAAUUUGUGGUAAGCAGUGAAAUACACCUGCAAAGUUUGCUACUGA